RNAcentral lists this signal recognition particle RNA (316 nucleotides) under Otolemur garnettii (small-eared galago). Its description in RNAcentral is "Metazoan signal recognition particle RNA". It matches the Rfam family "Metazoan signal recognition particle RNA". From Rfam's summary of the family: The signal recognition particle (SRP) is a universally conserved ribonucleoprotein. Lineage: Eukaryota; Metazoa; Chordata; Mammalia; Primates; Galagidae. The record is from Rfam by way of RNAcentral.
GCCGGGCGUUGUGGCGGGCGCCUGUGGUCCCAGCUACUUGGGAGGCGGAGGCAGGAGACUCGCUUGAGCCCAGGAGUUGGAGGUUGCUGUGAGCUGUAAUGCCACGGCACUCUGCCCAGGGGGACAGCUUGAGGCUCUGUCUCAAAAAAAAAAUAAAUAAAUAAAUAAAUAAAAGAGAAAUGUUUUGUUUCUUUUCUUCCUUUUUUUUUUUUUUUUUGAGACAGAGUAUCACUCUGUCACCCUUGGGUGGAGUGCUGUGGCAUCACAGCUCACAGCAACCUCAAACUCUUGGGCUCAAGCGAUUCUCUUGCCUCAG